GCUGUGAAAACCUGAGGCUCAACCUCAGGCCUGCAGUCGAUACGAGCAGACUAGAGUGUUGCAGGGGAGACUGGAAUUCCUGGUGUAGCGGUGAAAUGCGCAGAUAUCAGGAGGAACACCGGUGGCGAAGGCGGGUCUCUGGGCAACAACUGACGCUGAGGAGCGAAAGCGUGGGGAGCGAACAGGAUUAGAUACCCUGGUAGUCCACGCCGUAAACGUUGGGCGCUAGGUGUGGGGCUCAAUCCACGAGUUCCGUGCCGCAGCUAACGCAUUAAGCGCCCCGCCUGGGGAGUACGGCCGCAAGGCUAAAACUCAAAGGAAUUGACGGGGGCCCGCACAAGCGGCGGAGCAUGUUGCUUAAUUCGAUGCAACGCGAAGAACCUUACCUAGGCUUGACAUGCACGGAAAUCCUCCAGAGAUGGUGGGUCCGUAAGGGCCGUGCACAGGUGGUGCAUGGUUGUCGUCAGCUCGUGUCGUGAGAUGUUGGGUUAAGUCCCGCAACGAGCGCAACCCUCGUUCUAUGUUGCCAGCACGUCAUGGUGGGGACUCAUAGGAGACUGCCGGGGUCAACUCGGAGGAAGGUGGGGAUGACGUCAAAUCAUCAUGCCCCUUAUGUCUAGGGCUGCAAACAUGCUACAAUGGCCGGUACAAAGGGCUGCGAUACCGCGAGGUGGAGCGAAUCCCAAAAAGCCGGUCUCAGUUCGGAUUGGGGUCUGCAACUCGACCCCAUGAAGUUGGAGUCGCUAGUA
RNAcentral lists this ribosomal RNA (749 nucleotides) under uncultured bacterium. RNAcentral describes it as "bacterial SSU rRNA". It matches the Rfam family "Bacterial small subunit ribosomal RNA", at positions 591 to 1340 of the family's 1533-position model. The record is from RNAcentral.